AUGGCUAGAAAGGGAGGGAGGGCGAUGGUCGGAAAGUGGGGGGGUUGGCCAGAAAGGGGGUGGGGUGGCCACAGAAAGGAGGGGUGGCUAGAAAGGGGGGAGGAGGAUGGCCAGAAAGGGGGGGAAGGCCAGAAAGAGGGGCUGGCUAGAGAAGGGGGGAGGGGGAGAUGCGACCCCCACCCUCACCCCCGUCCCUUGUCGCUUGGUCUUCUUGGGUUUCCCCGCGUGGGAUCGGGGGGGGGGGGGGGAUGGGGGGAGGCGGAGGGUGCGUGGCGGUGCGGGAGAGGGUCCUGCCGGCGGGGAGGGGGAGCCGGGGUGGCCCCGCAGCUGGGAGCGGCGGCGGCGGCUGCGGGGGCGAUGCGGGGCGAUGCGGGGGCCGGAGCCGCGGGGCUAGCGCGGUCCCGUCGCCAUCGCCAUCAUCGCCAUCGCCAUCCCCGCCGCGGCGGCGGCGGCGGCUGCAGGUUUGCAGCAGGGACCGAGCGGACACUAGUUGGGCUGGCGGGCGGACCGGGCGGGGAGGGGCUUCUCGGAGACCCCGCCCUCCAGGCGGCCCGGCCCGGCCCGGCCCGCCCCCCUCCAUCCCCCCCCCCCCUCCCCGCCCCAGCCCGGCCUGACCCGGUAGUGACGGCGAGCAGAGGCGGGCUGGACCCCCGGCCAUCUCCAGGGGCCGGCGCCCGGGUGACUCUGUGUUUUGAUGUGUGUGUGUGUGACCUUGUGUGUGGAGGACCGUUUGGGGGGCGACCCUGGGGCCCGCCCCCCUCCCCUGCUCCGGACCCUCCCCCCGCCCCCUGGUCCUGGUCCUGGUCCCGGACCCCGCCCCCUCCUCCGUCCUUGUCCUCCGCCCCCUGCCCCGCUGCCUGCCCCAUCUCCCGGACCCUCUUCCUCUCCCCGUCCCCUCCUCUUGUCCCUGUCCCCCUGUCCCUGUCCCCCUCUCCCCAUCCCAGCCCCAGUCUUCACCCCCUGGCCCCUGUCCAGGGCUGCGCCCUCUGCCCCUGUGUCUGCCCCAGCCCGGCCCCUCUCCCCACCUCCUUUCCCUGUCUCCUUUCCCUGUCCCUUGACCCCUCCCCCUGUCCGGCUCCUGCUCUUGCCCCGUCCCUUUUCUGCUGA
RNAcentral lists this long non-coding RNA (1107 nucleotides) under Ornithorhynchus anatinus (platypus). RNAcentral's name for it is "lncRNA (ENSOANG00000046670.1)". The record is from RNAcentral. Lineage: Eukaryota; Metazoa; Chordata; Mammalia; Monotremata; Ornithorhynchidae.